RNAcentral lists this ribosomal RNA (173 nucleotides) under uncultured Cellulomonas sp. RNAcentral describes it as "partial 16S ribosomal RNA". It matches the Rfam family "Bacterial small subunit ribosomal RNA", at positions 337 to 522 of the family's 1533-position model. The record is from RNAcentral. Lineage: Bacteria; Bacillati; Actinomycetota; Actinomycetes; Micrococcales; Cellulomonadaceae.
UCCUACGGGAGGCAGCAGUGGGGAAUAUUGCGCAAUGGGCGAAAGCCUGACGCAGCAACGCCGCGUGGGGGAUGAAUGCCUUCGGGUUGUAAACCCCUUUCAGCAGGGACGAAGCGAGAGUGACGGUACCUGCAGAAGAAGCGCCGGCUAACUACGUGCCAGCAGCCGCGGUA